CUUAGCUUGGUGGCAUGUCAUUCUACGACAGGUAGAAUGAGUUAAUGUUAGCAUAGCCGCGGCUAUUUUUUGAGCGCAAAAUAGUUUUUUGACUUCCCACAUGCAAUUUUACAAACGGUAACAUUAACAUUUUGAUUUUAACAAUAACUCAUUUGUUGGAGAGACUAGUGAUGUACUAGUAGUGGUAAUAAUACUAGUUGACAUGACAUAACUGUUUAGGGAUGUUCUCUCAACUAGAUUGAUUAGUUAGCAUAGUUCGCUAAAUAUCUAACUGCCAGGGCUCGCAAAUAUCUAGCCACUCCUUCAUCCACAAUGCCGUGUGAAAGACGUUGUUGUCACUUGUCAGUCACAGGACACAUGGUGCUAAAGAAGCCGUCAGCUUUACUAUCAGGGAAUGUGAACAAGGUAGUUUGCCACACCAGCUGGCGAAAGGAAGACUAUAUUGUGUCAUGGUGUGGUCAAUGGUUGUUUGACAAUAAAGAGACAUUUUCAACCAUCCACUGGCUAAGAAGCCCAAAUCAUUUCUGUUUGAUUUGAAAAGAUAAGAAACAUUUGUAUUCAACCAAACAAUAGCUAAAAAGCCCGAAUUCUUUUUGGGAUGAUGAUAUAUUAAUGUUCCAUAUGGAAAAGCAAAGAGAACUGCUAAAGACUUGGCGCUCUGAGAUUCUUCUGAACAAACUUCUGAAGAGUGCGUUACAAAUAAAAUGAAUUAUUAUUAAAGAACUGCUGAGUUGCAGCACCAUUGUUUUAGUUUUUCAUUAAUGAAAAAAGAAAACAUGUUAAAUGUAUAUAUCCGUCUUUUGUCAUGAUUAAUAUACAGAGAAAAUCGGUAAUAUGUGAUAAAUCAUGAUUAAUCCACAGAUUAAUCCACACUUUUUUUUUUUUUCAUUUCACAGCCCUAAUGUAUAUAUGAAUUGUUUUAAGUAUGUUGACCUGUGAUGUAUAUUUGUUAUGGAAACACGGGAUUAGUAGUAUUUGUACUAUUUAAUUACAAUGUUUUUUAAUCCUUUAUGGUAUUUUUCAUUUAAUUCUAUUAAACAGGUCAGUUGCAGCAGUCUUUAUAUCACGGACGACUCCAACACGGCAAUAUUUCCAGAGCCAGCAGGCCAUUUUUCAAUAAUUAAUCUGACUAAUCGCAGUCAUUAUGAGGUCCACGGCGAUGCAGAGCACCUUCCACCCGCUGCUGGUGCCCCUGCUUUUGGGUUCAUGCGCCGACCCUCACCGGCUUCUGCUUCUGCCACAUCUUUUUCUGCGUCUGGUUUUUCCACUGAAACACCACCACCACCACCACGAGCUGGAACUCCACGAGCUAGUGGAGCUAGCUUGUUCCAGGGAAGAUCAUUCCAAAGGUUACUUGUUAAAUAUGUAACUUGUUAAAUAUGUAACUGAUCUCUGCUGCUAAAAUCUCGUCCUAUAAUAUAUAAAUAUCAUUUUAGGCCCAUAGGUGUGAUUUUAAGACGGUCUGAUUUAUCCCCAGGUCAAUCCAUCUGGCAGAAAUUGUUAAUGAGAAACUCAGUCCUUCCAGGACAGUAGUUGUGCGCUUUUUGGAAGCUGAGGCCUGCGUUGAACGAAUUUCGGCCAAAGUUCAAGAUGCCGUGGGCUCUGAUGAGCCUAUUACCUUGACGGACACCCAAGGAAACGAAAUAAUGGACUCUGAGGGCACAAGAAGUAAGUUGUAUGAUCAGAAACUUGCUUCUAAUUUGUGGUUUCUAAUAAACCUUAAUGUUGAUUUUAAAGGAGUCAUUGAUUGCAAAAAACAAAUUUACCUUGUCACAGUUGAUUAACGACAGUUCAGUGGGUAAAAUGUACAUACAAUGAACCCUUAAAGUCCAUUGACACUUCUUUCAUAUGCAAAUCUCACAAUUAGAAACCGGUAGGUAUGUAAAGCAGGAUUUGCUAAGAAGAUGUAGCUGAAAAGGUGCUGUUCUGACCCUUUGUUCAUUACAACCGCAAGCUGUAGUAUUAUGUUGUUGCUAACGUAUCCUCCCUGUUUCUAUUAUCGGUAGAUGUGAUGGUUUAGUUUAUUGGCAAUGUGGCUAACGUUAUUUCAUGUCCCUGACUGUUUCAUUCAAAUAAAUAACACGUGUUUGUUUACAGCCCAACCAAUGUUACAUACCCUAUUCGGAGACCGUAAGGAACCGUGUGAAAUACCCCCAAAAAGUCAAUGACCCCUUUUAAAAACAAGUGAAGUUAAUGUUUUCUGACUUCUUAGGUUCCCAGUUCUGGAAACAGAACUCAAGAAAAAUAUAUGCUGUGCCUGAAAGUGACUUUGUGGAGUUUCAGAAUGGGAGAAGAGCUAAAACAAGUCGAAGGGAUGGAGAUUCAAGCCUGCAGGAGGUCCUUGGACGUGUUGACCAGCUGAAGCAAGCCGCCGGGAGUCUCCAAGAGGUCACUAAUUCAAUCAACCAGCUGUCUCAGCUGGCCAAGUCUCAAAAGGAGGAGAUAAUGGCAAAUGUCGGUUUGCAGCCCUUAAAGGAAGCCUUUGCAUGUCUUGUGUGUAAAGCUGUAAUGGCAGAUCCCAUGUUCGCCACAUGCUGUGAAUCGAUAAUUGGAUGUCGUACCUGUGUGGAGCUGUGGUUAGUCACAUCAGACCACUGCUUGAAAUGCAGGGCAGGAGACUUUGAAAAUAAAAUACAUGAAGUGAAGGGUCUCUCUGCUGCCUUGUCACUUUUCAAGGAGAGAGAAAUUGAUUUGAUUUGAUAGAUAAUUGUUUGUUAUUGUUUGUUAUGUUUACAUUACUGGAACUACCUCAGUUUGUUUGUUGGAUGUUAUUAUGGGUACAUGACCAGAAAGAUGUUGUUUGUUGUAAUGUUUAUAUUGUGUGUGACCGUUUUAAAAAAAAAAGAAAAGAAAAAAGACAACUUCCACUUUAUCAUUGUUGUAAUAAAAUGUUAUUUUUGGUAUACUGCUUCUUCAUUGACCAUUGCAGGUCACUGUGUAACAGGUCGCACAUGUCUUGAGGUGAUAUCAAUCAGAGACCUCACUGCAUUUUUAAAAGGGCCAUAGUUAUGGUUAACCACAUUUUGGAAGAGGGAUAGCAAAUCAAAGAGAGAACCAAACUCAGUUUCAGUCCAUUGUUGGGCUUCUUCAGAGGGGAAAGGAUCACUUCCAAAAAUGGAUUCUCUUUUCAAGGCUGAUCCCAUUUCCUGCUGAUACAGGUCAGCUGCAACUGCACCGACUGGCAGAAGGUCCUCAGAAAGUUUUGCAGGACACCCUUCUUUAGCCAGUUCGUUUGGUAUUCCCCUUCCUGCAAGACAGUAAAGUGAGUAGUGAGAUUAAAGGGGUUACACUUGUGGGGAGGUAAUCAUUUUGCCAAUGAUGUUUUGACUUGUUAUUUUAGUUGUCUUUCACAGCAUAUUGGAGUUGACAAUAAUGACAGCUUCAUUCAGAUGGGGGUCAUUCCUACAAAAUUCACCCAAUGUAAAUGCCCUCAAAUUAAAGAUGAAUGUCUGUGCUUUGAGCAUGUAUUCAUUUACAUUCAACUCCAAACCUGUAGAAGUCAUCUAAAAAAGCAAGAACAUGGUCAACGUCCAAAAAACUUGAUUCUAACUAAUAACAUGUUUUACUAAUUGAAUCUGCCCCUCUACAGAAAGUACUGGAUUUGCAGUGUUGCAAUUUGAGCUACACAUUUGUGAAUCCAUUUCAGAUUGAACUCUACAAUAGAACAUCAAAAUUAAUUUACACUGCUUUAUUAGCAAGUUAUGCCUGUAAUACCGCCAGUAAAAUGAAAUUAAUCAUACCUGGGAUCCUGUGUGCAUUCCAUGCCUGUACGACAUUUGUGAUGCCAAUCCUAGCCAGCUGGCAUGUCAGGUUUGACACACAAUACCUGGAUGUGUUGUCCUCCAUGUCCAGUUCCUCCUGGUCCACCAGCUGUACCAGAGCUGUCUUCAAAGGGUAGUUGACUCGAGCAUUCACCUCCGACCACAUUCUCUCUAUCACAUGGUUCUGUGCAGGUUAUAAGGAUAGUGUCAGUCUGCCUGCCCUCAUUAGAAAUACGCCUCAAUGGCAAGAAACCAGGAUUAAUUUUUAACAACACAUUUAUUUUACCCUUGUAGAAGGUGUCUGAAGGUAGGGCUGCCUUUGAGUAUUGUGUCGAUGUUCUGCCAGUUUUUCCUGGAUGAAUAAAGCCAGAUAGAAUUCUUUCCCACAGUCAACUCUGACCUGGUCCCAUAUUCCAUAGGAAAGAACAGCAGGCCUGAAGAUAAAUCACCGACAAACGUAAAAUAUACAUAAACAGCAUCAGUCUCUUAGCCAUGGCCAGCUAAAGUGACAAUUACAUUUUUUUGUCAAAAUUGGAAUGAUAUCAAUAAUAGUAAAACUGGAAAAUUAACUAAGAAACUGGAAGAGGGAAAAAGUUUUUUGUUUUUUCCAAAUUAAUUAUUUCCAUAUUACAAAUCUAGGUUUUAACCUUUUUUAAUGUACUUGUUCAAGUCUGGGUCCUCCUAAGGAGACAACUUUGGGUUCCACCUUACAAAGUCUGUGAAGUUAAUUUACCGGUACACUUCCUCAUAAAUCACGAUGUUGUUCUUUAUUGGCAUGGUGGAGUGACCGACCACCUUCUUGCUGAAACCAUCGAUAGCCAUAACAUGAGUCACUCCAAACAUAACAAGCUUCUCAUUCUGAUCUACAUGCAGCUUGUGACCCAUGUAUUCUGCAUUGUAGGGUAUGGGGUUCAGAUUCCGGGCACCCUAAAAUAUAAGAAUUCCAUUAUAAUAAAAACUCAAUAAUCUUUCAUUCGUAUGAUUAGAAUCUCAACACGUAUGUUCUAUUGAAAUGUAGAAAACACAAUGCUAUUUGACCUUACCUGCUGUCUUGCAAUGUGGUAGGGUUGAUGAAUACUUCUCAACACAUUGCCCACUCUGCCUUCAGAAGCUUUAACCCCUUUUGCGGAUAGAUAUCCAGUCAUCAUUUUUCGACCAAAAGACGAUCCA
Gadus chalcogrammus (walleye pollock) is the source of this 4931-nucleotide long non-coding RNA. RefSeq lists it as uncharacterized. The record is from RefSeq and is a predicted model, not a curated record. Lineage: Eukaryota; Metazoa; Chordata; Actinopteri; Gadiformes; Gadidae. The transcript has 3 exons.